Molecule: ribosomal RNA, 1522 nt
Filed under: uncultured prokaryote
Description: partial 16S ribosomal RNA
Rfam family: Bacterial small subunit ribosomal RNA
Source: RNAcentral
AGAGUUUGAUCCUGGCUCAGAACGAACGCUGGCGGCGUGCCUAACACAUGCAAGUCGGACGAGAAAUUUCCCGCUUGCGGGAAAGAGUACAGUGGCGCACGGGUGAGUAACGCGUGGGUAACCUGCCCUUGAAUCUGGGAUAACUUCGCGAAAGCGUGGCUAAUACCGGGUAUUGUCCUCGAGGCUAUGGCAUCUUGGAUGAAAGGUGACCUCUUCAUGAAAGUUGCCGUUCGAGGAGGGGCUCGCGUACCAUUAGCUUGUUGGUAGGGUAAUGGCCUACCAAGGCUUCGAUGGUUAGCUGGUCUGAGAGGAUGAUCAGCCACACUGGAACUGGAACACGGUCCAGACUCCUACGGGAGGCAGCAGUGGGGAAUAUUGCGCAAUGGGGGAAACCCUGACGCAGCAACGCCGCGUGAGUGAAGAAGGCCUUCGGGUUGUAAAGCUCUGUCUGUCAGUUGGGAAGAAAUCACGAGGUAACCCCUCGUGACUGACGGUACCUUCAAAGGAAGCACUGGCUAACUCCGUGCCAGCAGCCGCGGUAAUACGGAGAGUGCAAGCGUUGUUCGGAAUUACUGGGCGUAAAGAGCAUGUAGGCGGCCUAGUCAGUCUGGUGUGAAAGCCCGGGGCUCAACCCAGGAAGUGCAUUUGAAACUGCCAUCCUAGAGUAUGGGAGAGGAGAGUGGAAUUCCCAGUGUAGAGGUGAAAUUCGUAGAUAUUGGGAGGAACACCCGUGGCGAAGGCGACUCUCUGGACCAAUACUGACGCUGAGACGCGAAAGCGUGGGGAGCAAACAGGAUUAGAUACCCUGGUAGUCCACGCCGUAAACGAUGAGAACUAGGUGUAGCGGGUAUUGACCCCUGCUGUGCCGUAGCUAACGCAUUAAGUUCUCCGCCUGGGGAGUACGGCCGCAAGGCUAAAACUCAAAGGAAUUGACGGGGGCCCGCACAAGCGGUGGAGCAUGUGGUUUAAUUCGACGCAACGCGAAGAACCUUACCUGGAUUUGACAUCCUCUGACAGCCCCGGAAACGGGGUCUUCCCUGCUUGCAGGGACAGAGUGACAGGUGCUGCAUGGCUGUCGUCAGCUCGUGUAGUGAGAUGUUGGGUUAAGUCCCGCAACGAGCGCAACCCUUGUCUUUAGUUGCCAGUAUUAAGUUAGGCACUCUAGAGAGACUGCCUCGGUUAACGAGGAGGAAGGUGGGGAUGACGUCAAGUCCUCAUGGCCUUUAUACCCAGGGCUACACACGUGCUACAAUGGGCUGUACAAUGGGUCGCCAAUCCGCGAGGAUGAGCCAAUCCCAAAAAGCAGCUCUCAGUUCGGAUUGAAGUCUGCAACUCGACUUCAUGAAGUUGGAAUCGCUAGUAAUCGUGGAUCAGCAUGCCACGGUGAAUACGUUCCCGGGCCUUGUACACACCGCCCGUCACACCACGAAAGUCGGCUGUACCAGAAGUUGCUGGGCUAACCCCUUUAGGGGAGGUAGGUACCUAAGGUACGGUCGGUAAUUGGGGUGAAGUCGUAACAAGG